UACGGAGGGGGCUAGCGUUGUUCGGAAUUACUGGGCGUAAAGGGCGCGUAGGCGGUCCCUCAAGUCAGGGGUGAAAUCCCGGAGCUCAACUCCGGAACUGCCCUUGAAACUGCAGUGCUAGAAUCUUGGAGAGGCGAGUGGAAUUCCGAGUGUAGAGGUGAAAUUCGUAGAUAUUCGGAAGAACACCAGUGGCGAAGGCGACUCGCUGGACAAGUAUUGACGCUGAGGCACGAAAGCUAGGGGAGCAAACAGG
RNAcentral lists this ribosomal RNA (253 nucleotides) under uncultured bacterium. RNAcentral describes it as "partial 16S ribosomal RNA". It matches the Rfam family "Bacterial small subunit ribosomal RNA", at positions 524 to 776 of the family's 1533-position model. The record is from RNAcentral.